GUCAAAGGACAGAAGGCGUAGGGUGGAUACCUAGGCACCUAGAGACGAAGAAGGGCGUGGUACCGACGAAAUGCUCCGGGGAGCUGGAAACAAGCGAUAAUCCGGAGAUUCCCGAAUAGGGCAACCUCUUGAACUACCUGCUGAAUUCAUAGGCAGGAAAGAGAUAACCCAGCGAACUGAAACAUCUUAGUAGCUGGAGGAGAAGAAAGCAAACGCGAUUCCCCAAGUAGCGGCGAGCGAAAAGGGAACAGCCUAAACCAGUUGUUAGACUGGGGUCGUGGGAAAACAAAAUUAAAAACAAAAAAAUUGUUUACGAAGCAGCUGAAUCCUGCACCAUAGAUGGUGAAAGUCCAGUAGUUAACGAAAAGCGUGUUGGUUGGAAAUUCUUUGUUUAUCCCGAGUAGCAUGGGACACGUGAAAUCCCGUGUGAAUCAGCGAGGACCACCUCGUAAGGCUAAAUACUCCUAGGUGACCGAUAGUGAAACAGUACCGUGAGGGAAAGGUGAAAAGAACCCCUGUAGGGGAGUGAAAAAGAACAUGAAACCCUACGCUGUCAAACAGUGGGAGGAUAACAAUAUCUGACCGCGUGCCUGUUGAAGAAUGAGCCGGCGACUUAGAAGAAGUGGCAAGGUUAAGGAGUAUUAUCUGGAGCCAGAGCGAAAGCAAGUCUGAAUAGGGCGUUAUUUCGUCACUUUUUCUAGACCCGAACCCGGGUGAUCUAACCAUGACCAGGAUGAAGCUUGGGUAACACCACGUGAAGGUCCGAACCGACCGAUGUUGAAAAAUCGGCGGAUGAGUUGUGGUUAGGGGUGAAAUACCAAUCGAACUCGGAGCUAGCUGGUUCUCCCCGAAAUGCGUUGAGGCGCAGCGGUUUAUGAGGCUGUCUAGGGGUAAAGCACUGUUUCGGUGCGGGCUGCGAAAGCGGUACCAAAUCGUGGCAAACUCUGAAUACUAGAUAUGCUGUUCAUAAGCCAGUGAGACGGUGGGGGAUAAGCUUCAUCGUCAAGAGGGAAACAGCCCAGAUCACUAGCUAAGGCCCCAAAAUGAUCGUUAAGUGGCAAAGGAGGUGAGAAUGCUGAAACAACCAGGAGGUUUGCUUAGAAGCAGCCACCCUUUAAAGAGUGCGUAAUAGCUCACUGGUGGAGCGUUCUUGCGCCGAAAAUGUCCGGGACUAAAUGAUCUGCCGAAGCUGUGGGAUACUUUUUUUCAAUUAUCGGUAGGUUUUACUACUGAUAACAAAGUAUCGGUAGGGGAGCGUUCUGCUGUAGGGUGAAGCAUUAAUGGAAGUUAGUGUGGACGAAGCGGAAGUGAGAAUGUCGGCUUGAGUAACGCAAACAUUGGUGAGAAUCCAAUGCCCCGUAAACCUAAGGAUUCCUCCACUAGGUUCGUCCAUGGAGGGUGAGUCAGGACCUAAGGUGAGGCCGAAAGGCGUAGCCGAUGGCAAACAGGUUAAUAUUCCUGUACUACUUUUUGUUGGUACCGAGGGACGGAGCAGGCAGGGGUAAGCUGGAUUUGGAUUUCAGUGGAAGCUUUCAAGACGUUGAGAGAUAGAAGAAAAACUAUUUUGAGUUAAGAAGUGAUACGUUUUCACUCUUUCUUUGGAGUGAGAAUUUACUAGCUGUCAUACUUCCAAGAAAAGCUCGCACUACACAUAAGACAAAAAGUACCUGUACCGAAAACCGACACAGGUAGGUUGGUAGAGAAUACCAAGGGGCGCGAGACAACUCUCUCUAAGGAACUCGGCAAAAUGACCCCGUAACUUCGGGAGAAGGGGUGCCAAGUAAAAACUUGGCCGCAGUGACCAGGCCCAGGCGACUGUUUACCAAAAACACAGGUCUCCGCAAAGUCGUAAGACAACAUAUGGGGGCUGACGCCUGCCCAGUGCCGGAAGGUUAAGGAAGUUGGUUAUUCUUCAAGAAAAAGCUGACGACCGAAGCCCCGGUGAACGGCGGCCGUAACUAUAACGGUCCUAAGGUAGCGAAAUUCCUUGUCAGGUAAGUUCUGACCCGCACGAAAGGCGUAACGAUCUGGGCGCUGUCUCGGAGAGAGACUCGGUGAAAUAGACAUGUCUGUGAAGAUGCGGACUACCUACACCUGGACAGAAAGACCCUAUGAAGCUUGACUGUAACCUGAAAUUGGGUUCGGGCUCUUCUUGCGCAGCCUAGGUGGGAGGCGUUGAAAGUUUCUUUUCGGGGAAACUGGAGCCAACAGUGAGAGACCACUCUGGAGGAGCUAGAAUUCUAAUGGUGUUCCUUGAAGCAGGACACUUGACAGUUUCAGGCGGGCAGUUUGACUGGGGCGGUCGCCUCCUAAAAGGUAACGGAGGCGUGCAAAGGUUCCCUCAGGCUGGACGGAAAUCAGCCGUAGAGUGUAAAGGCAGAAGGGAGCUUGACUGCAAGACCUACAAGUCGAGCAGGGGCGAAAGCCGGCCUUAGUGAUCCGACGGUUCCGUGUGGAAGGGCCGUCGCUCAACGGAUAAAAGUUACUCUAGGGAUAACAGGCUGAUCUUCCCCAAGAGUUCACAUCGACGGGAAGGUUUGGCACCUCGAUGUCGGCUCAUCGCAACCUGGGGCGGUAGUACGUCCCAAGGGUUGGGCUGUUCGCCCAUGAAAGCGGUACGUGAGCUGGGUUCAGAACGUCGUGAGACAGUUCGGUCCAUAUCCGGUGUAGGCGCUAGAGUAUUGAAGGCAUUCGUCCAUAGUACGAGAGGACCUAGACGAACACACCUCUGGUAUAUCAGUUAUUCUGCCAAGGGUAAACGCUGAGUAGCCAAGUGUGGAGGUGAUAACCGCUGAAAGCAUCUAAGUGGGAAGCCCAGCCUAAGAUGAGUACUCUCCAUAAGGCCACGGGAAGACAAUCCGUUUGAUAGGCAUCAGGUGUAAGCGUGGUAACACGUUCAGCCGAGAUGUACUAAUAGGCCGAUUGAAUUUGAC
Molecule: ribosomal RNA, 2933 nt
Filed under: Dicloster acuatus
Lineage: Eukaryota; Viridiplantae; Chlorophyta; Trebouxiophyceae; Chlorellales; Chlorellaceae
Description: bacterial LSU rRNA
Rfam family: Bacterial large subunit ribosomal RNA
Source: RNAcentral